GGGCGAUUAGCUCAGUGGAAGAGCGCUCCGUUCACACCGGAGAGGUCACUGGUUCGAACCCAGUAUCGCCCA
RNAcentral lists this transfer RNA (72 nucleotides) under Catenuloplanes nepalensis. RNAcentral describes it as "tRNA-Val". It matches the Rfam family "tRNA". From Rfam's summary of the family: Transfer RNA (tRNA) molecules are approximately 80 nucleotides in length. Their secondary structure includes four short double-helical elements and three loops (D, anti-codon, and T loops). Lineage: Bacteria; Bacillati; Actinomycetota; Actinomycetes; Micromonosporales; Micromonosporaceae. The record is from RNAcentral.